Molecule: small nucleolar RNA, 138 nt
Organism: Tachyglossus aculeatus (Australian echidna)
Lineage: Eukaryota; Metazoa; Chordata; Mammalia; Monotremata; Tachyglossidae
Source: RefSeq, a predicted model, not a curated record
CCCCUCUUAGGGUCACACCUAGAGAGUUUCCAGUCCUCUACCAGUCUUGAUUGUGGGAGGGAGAGUCAAGCAGAGGUCUACCCAUUCCAUUCCUAGUUUGGCCAGUGGCUAGUGAGUGGAAGGCAAUCUUCCUCAAGU